Long non-coding RNA from Tupaia belangeri chinensis (Chinese tree shrew), 359 nucleotides. RefSeq lists it as uncharacterized. The transcript is spliced from 3 exons. The record is from RefSeq and is a predicted model, not a curated record. NCBI's taxonomy places the organism in Eukaryota, Metazoa, Chordata, Mammalia, Scandentia, Tupaiidae.
GUGACACUGAAACAAAGUUAGACUAAUGAAUAUAAGUUUAGCAGUUGCACCAUAAUCUUAAGAACAUGCUAGCUCUCUCUUCCAUAAGUGCAGUGACCUUGGUGGUUACAUAUUUCAUGUAGUGAAUUUCCAAUAGGAGCAGUGUGAGGCAACUCAAGGUAAGGUGCCUAUAACACUUCUGUACAUGAAUUUCAAGAAUAAGAAACCAUCUGUCAGUAUCAAGGAUAGUCCCUUAAGAAACUACAGUAACAAUAAUAUAUACAUUAACUCAACUACAACUUAUAAUAUUCUGUCCACUUUUCAUCCCCAGUUGUCUAAAAAACGGUAUAUAUAGUUUCUUUUUUAAAUAAAGGUUUCAA